GCAGUCGCCGCGGUAAUACAGAGGUCUCAAGCGUUGUUCGGAUUCAUUGGGCGUAAAGGGUGCGUAGGUGGCGGUGUAAGUCUAACGUGAAAUCUCGGGGCUCAACCUCGAAAUUGCGUCGGAUACUGCAUUGCUAGAGGAUUGUAGAGGAGAGUGGAAUUCAUGGUGUAGCAGUGAAAUGCGUAGAUAUCAUGAGGAAGACCAGUUGCGAAGGCGACUCUCUGGGCAAUUCCUGACACUGAGGCACGAAGGCUAGGGGAGCAAACGGGAUUAGAUACCCCUGUAGUCCCUGUCUCUUAUAC
This 302-nucleotide ribosomal RNA is filed under the name uncultured bacterium. RNAcentral describes it as "partial 16S ribosomal RNA". It matches the Rfam family "Bacterial small subunit ribosomal RNA", at positions 508 to 807 of the family's 1533-position model. The record is from RNAcentral.